AGAUUGAACGCUGGCGGCAUGCCUAACACAUGCAAGUCGAACGGUAACGCGGGGGCAACCCUGGCGACGAGUGGCGGACGGGUGAGUAACACGUAGGAAUCUACCCUGUAGUGGGGGGAUAACCCGGCGAAAGCCGGGCUAAUACCGCAUACGCUCUACGGAGGAAAGCGGGGGAUCGUAAGACCUCGCGCUAAAGGAUGAGCCUACGUCGGAUUAGCUAGUUGGUAGGGUAACGGCCUACCAAGGCGACGAUCCGUAGCUGGUCUGAGAGGACGAUCAGCCACACUGGGACUGAGACACGGCCCAGACUCCUACGGGAGGCAGCAGUGGGGAAUUUUUGGACAAUGGGCGCAAGCCUGAUCCAGCCAUGCCGCGUGCGGGAAGAAGGCCUUCGGGUUGUAAACCGCUUUUGGCAGGACGAACGGCGCGAGCGAAUAUCUCGCGUUAAUGACUGUACCUGCAGAAUAAGCACCGGCUAACUACGUGCCAGUAGCCGC
RNAcentral lists this ribosomal RNA (497 nucleotides) under uncultured bacterium. Its description in RNAcentral is "SSU rRNA". It matches the Rfam family "Bacterial small subunit ribosomal RNA", at positions 26 to 518 of the family's 1533-position model. The record is from RNAcentral.